RNAcentral lists this ribosomal RNA (293 nucleotides) under uncultured eukaryote. RNAcentral describes it as "partial 18S ribosomal RNA". It matches the Rfam family "Eukaryotic small subunit ribosomal RNA", at positions 592 to 872 of the family's 1831-position model. The record is from RNAcentral.
UGUAAGCGUAUACCACAGUUGUUGCAGUUAAAACGCUCGUAGUCGGAAAUUGGCCGUUCCGGAUGUGUGCACGUCGUGUGCGCACUUUGCAAGGACGGCUUUUGUGGUCUUGCGUAGGAUGAGGCACUUUUAUUAGUGAACGUCCUCACGCAACCACUCUUUACUGUGAGAAAAUCAGAGUGCUCAAAGCAGGCAUUUGCCGUGAAUGUACUAGCAUGGAAUAAUAGAAUAAAUUCUUAGAUUGCCGAAAGACAAACUGCCGCGAAAGAGUCUGCCAAAGAUGUUUUCAUUGA